GUGGGGAAUAUUGGACAAUGGGCGAAAGCCUGAUCCAGCCAUGCCGCGUGUGUGAAGAAGGUCUUCGGAUUGUAAAGCACUUUAAGUUGGGAGGAAGGGCAUUAACCUAAUACGUUAGUGUUUUGACGUUACCGACAGAAUAAGCACCGGCUAACUUCGUGCCAGCAGCCGCGGUAAUACGAAGGGUGCAAGCGUUAAUCGGAAUUACUGGGCGUAAAGCGCGCGUAGGUGGUUCGUUAAGUUGGAUGUGAAAGCCCCGGGCUCAACCUGGGAACUGCAUCCAAAACUGGCGAGCUAGAGUACGGUAGAGGGUGGUGGAAUUACCUGUGUAGCGGUGAAAUGCGUAGAUAUAGGAAGGAACACCAGUGGCGAAGGCGACCACCUGGACUGAUACUGACACUGAGGUGCGAAAGCGUGGGGAGCAAACAGGAUUAGAAACCCUUGUAGUCC
Molecule: ribosomal RNA, 450 nt
Filed under: uncultured bacterium
Lineage: Bacteria
Description: partial 16S ribosomal RNA
Rfam family: Bacterial small subunit ribosomal RNA
Source: RNAcentral